Lupinus albus (white lupine) is the source of this 204-nucleotide non-coding RNA. The record is from the annotation of a GenBank genome assembly. NCBI's taxonomy places the organism in Eukaryota, Viridiplantae, Streptophyta, Magnoliopsida, Fabales, Fabaceae.
CGUACUGACUGACUAAGUUACUUACUUACUGACUUACCGACUGACUUACCGAUUGACUUACUAACUUACUGACUGACUUACUAACUUACUAACUUACUGACGUACUGACUGACUUACUAACUGACUUAUUGACUGACUUACUCACUGACUAAGUUACUUACUGACUUACUAAGUUACUUAUUGACUGACUUACUAACUGACUUA